This 800-nucleotide ribosomal RNA is filed under the name uncultured bacterium. RNAcentral's name for it is "bacterial SSU rRNA". It matches the Rfam family "Bacterial small subunit ribosomal RNA", at positions 20 to 809 of the family's 1533-position model. The record is from RNAcentral.
UGGCUCAGGAUGAACGCUAGCUACAGGCUUAACACAUGCAAGUCGAGGGGCAGCAUGGUCUUAGCUUGCUAAGGCCGAUGGCGACCGGCGCACGGGUGAGUAACACGUAUCCAACCUGCCGUCUACUCUUGGACAGCCUUCUGAAAGGAAGAUUAAUACAAGAUGGCAUCAUGAGUUCACAUGUUCACAUGAUUAAAGGUAUUCCGGUAGACGAUGGGGAUGCGUUCCAUUAGAUAGUAGGCGGGGUAACGGCCCACCUAGUCUUCGAUGGAUAGGGGUUCUGAGAGGAAGGUCCCCCACAUUGGAACUGAGACACGGUCCAAACUCCUACGGGAGGCAGCAGUGAGGAAUAUUGGUCAAUGGGCGAGAGCCUGAACCAGCCAAGUAGCGUGAAGGAUGACUGCCCUAUGGGUUGUAAACUUCUUUUAUAAAGGAAUAAAGUCGGGUAUGUAUACCCGUUUGCAUGUACUUUAUGAAUAAGGAUCGGCUAACUCCGUGCCAGCAGCCGCGGUAAUACGGAGGAUCCGAGCGUUAUCCGGAUUUAUUGGGUUUAAAGGGAGCGUAGAUGGAUGUUUAAGUCAGUUGUGAAAGUUUGCGGCUCAACCGUAAAAUUGCAGUUGAUACUGGAUAUCUUGAGUGCAGUUGAGGCAGGCGGAAUUCGUGGUGUAGCGGUGAAAUGCUUAGAUAUCACGAAGAACUCCGAUUGCGAAGGCAGCCUGCUAAGCUGCAACUGACAUUGAGGCUCGAAAGUGUGGGUAUCAAACAGGAUUAGAUACCCUGGUAGUCCACACGGUAAACGA